Molecule: ribosomal RNA, 274 nt
Filed under: uncultured bacterium
Lineage: Bacteria
Description: partial 16S ribosomal RNA
Rfam family: Bacterial small subunit ribosomal RNA
Source: RNAcentral
AUACGGAGGGUGCAAGCGUUAUCCGGAAUCACUGGGUUUAAAGGGUGCGUAGGCGGCCUGGUAAGUCAGAGGUGAGAUACACGAGCUUAACUGGUGAAUUGCCUUUGAAACUAUCAAGCUAGAAUUAUGUUGAGGUCAGCGGAAUGAGUCAUGUAGCGGUGAAAUGCAUAGAUAUGACUUAGAACACCAAUUGCGUAGGCAGCUGGCUAGGCAUUAAUUGACGCUGAGGCACGAAAGCGUGGGGAGCGAACAGGAUUAGAAACCCUAGUAGUCC